Molecule: long non-coding RNA, 2142 nt
Filed under: Homo sapiens (human)
Lineage: Eukaryota; Metazoa; Chordata; Mammalia; Primates; Hominidae
Description: HSALNT0314728
Source: RNAcentral
CCCUCGCUCUUGACCCUGCCAGUCUUUAAAACUCAGAUGAGCUGUCCUUAAUUCUUUUGUGUUUUCUUUGUCUAAUUUUUUGUGACUAUCAUCAGGCAACCUGGGACUUGAACAUCUCUUACCUAGAAUUGCAAAUUGGAUCACAUCUCCUUUAUCGGAAUCUUAUGUUUUUCACAAAAUGUUGUGUUGAAAGCUAGCUCCAUCCGAGCUGGAAAAGAUACAGACAUUGCAUCAUGGAAUUUAAGGCCUUAAAAUAUUACAUUUCAUGGGAUGCCCUUUUAUUUCUUCUAAAGCUCUUACUGAGCUUUUAGGACAGAUAUUUGCAGAGUAUGUCCUAUCCAUUUCUUCUUUUUCUUUUCUGAGGAGUACAACUUUUUAUCUGAAUGAGCCCUCCUUGGUGAAACUGAUGUUUCAAGUCAAGUUUCCACUACAGAGUAUCCUGGCAAUACAACCAGAUGAACGAUCAGUUUGCCCAUUAAUUUUGUUCUUUGUUUUGAAUAUGAAUACACUAGAGCAGUCAUGGGCUGGACGCAGUGGCUCACGACUAUAAUCCGAGCACUUUGGGAGGCCAAGGCUGGAGGAUCACUUGAGGUCAGGAGUUCAAAAUCAGCCUGGCCAACAUUGUGAAAUCCCAUCUCUACUAAAAACACAAAAAUUAUCUGGUGUGGUGGCGCAGGCCUGUAGUUCCAGCUACUCAGGAGGCUGAGAUGGGAGAAUUGCUUGAACCCAGGAGGCGGAGGUUGCAGUGAGCUGAGAUUACGCCGCUACACUCCAUCUUGGGCAAUGGAGCUAGAUUCCAUCUCAAAAAAAGCAGUUAUGGCUACUUUAAAACAUAAAUGUACUAAUUAUAAUUUGUUCAGUUAUUCUACUGGAGUUUUGGGAUUCCCCACUCUCCGUUAGUCAACUAGUGGAAUAAUAGCAAUAGGAAUAGCUAACAUUUAUUGACUGUUAUACUCAUUAGCCAGGCACAUAAGUGCCAAGUACUUUACAUGGAUUAUUUCUUUUCUCACAUUGUGAAGUAGAUAUACAGUCAUGUACUACAUAACAUUUCCAUCAAUGAUGGACUGCAUAUAUGAUGAUCCCAUAUGUUUAGAUACACAGAUAUUUACCAUUGUGUUACAGCUGCUUACAGUAUUAGGUACAGUAACGUUGUACACUAGGAGCAAUAAGCUAUACCUUGUAGCCUAGGAGUGUAGUAGGCUAUACUAUCUAGGUUUGUGUAAGUACAAAACUAGUAAUUUACAUACAGAAUUUUGGGAAGAAAUCUGUGAUAGUCACAUAAUGAUGAAGUCACCUAAUGACAGAUUCUCAGAAUUGAUUCCCAUUGUUAAGCAACGCAUGACUGUAUGUAUUAUCCAUAUCUUUCAGUCGAGGAAACCAAAGCUUAGAGAAGUUAAGGAAGUUAUCAGAGAAAACACAGCUAGUGAGUAGUCCAGGCAAUGUGGCUCGAGUUGGUGUGCUUAACCAUUAAGCUGUAGUGCCUCCUUUACCAAUGCUGACCAUUAAUCUCCUAAGAAAUGUUGUAGGUCAGUUAUCCUUAAUUUCAUUAUUAGAUGGACUCAAAUUUUAGUUCAAGUUACUGGAUUCUCAAGCUUUUAAUGAUAAAAGGAAAAAUCCUGGGUUCCAUGAGUAUCCUAAAGGCUUCAAGAAAUUGGUGGCCAAAACUUGUUUUAAAAUGGCCAAGGGAACUAGGAUAUUCAGCCUAGGAAAAAGAAUUCGAAUGGAAGGUCUGACUGGCAGAAGAAUUAGGUAUGCUCUGUGUGCAGCUGAAAGACAGAACUUGGGCCAGCAGGUAAAAUUUGUGGGGAAGUAGAUGUUGGCUUACUUCUAGGGAACAGUUGUCAAUAUCUACAAUACCGGGACAUGAAUAGAAUUGCUUUCAGUUAAGAUAUGUUAGUUUCCUUGCAUCAGCCAGUAGUGAACAAUUAUAACUAGACAACCUUGCCUACAGUAUUAUAAAGGUUUAUGCUGUGUGUUAUGAGAUCUAGAGUGUGUAACAUAAAAGCUGUCUUCUAACUUUGAUUAGCUCUGUUUGGCUUCUUUGAAGCCUGUUGGCGUAGAUUCUCCACUGAAGGGAUUGAGGAUCUUGAACUUUAAAAGUAAUACAGGUACACAGAAAUUUUCCGACGUCAAGAAUUUGAG